This 573-nucleotide ribosomal RNA is filed under the name uncultured bacterium. Its description in RNAcentral is "bacterial SSU rRNA". It matches the Rfam family "Bacterial small subunit ribosomal RNA", at positions 14 to 580 of the family's 1533-position model. The record is from RNAcentral.
UGAUCAUGGCUCAGGAUGAACGCUAGCGGCAGGCCUAACACAUGCAAGUCGAGGGGUAACAGAGGGUGCUUGCACCUUGCUGACGACCGGCGCACGGGUGCGUAACGCGUAUGCAACCUACCUUUUACAGGAGGAUAGUCAAUAGAAAUGUUGAAUAAUACUCCAUACGAUCUUUGAGUGGCAUUACUUAAAGAAGAAAGCUUUUGCGGUAAAAGAUGGGCAUGCAUCCUAUUAGUUAGUUGGUGAGGUAACGGCUCACCAAGACAUCGAUAGGUAGGGGCCCUGAGAGGGGGAUCCCCCACACUGGUACUGAGACACGGACCAGACUCCUACGGGAGGCAGCAGUGAGGAAUAUUGGACAAUGGAGGCAACUCUGAUCCAGCCAUGCCGCGUGCAGGAAGACUGCCCUAUGGGUUGUAAACUGCUUUUAUACAGGAAGAAACACUCCGACGUGUCGGAGCUUGACGGUACUGUAAGAAUAAGGAUCGGCUAACUCCGUGCCAGCAGCCGCGGUAAUACGGAGGAUCCAAGCGUUAUCCGGAAUCAUUGGGUUUAAAGGGUCCGCAGGCUGUU